ACGGGUGAGUAAUGUCUGGGAAACUGCCUGAUGGAGGGGGAUAACUACUGGAAACGGUAGCUAAUACCGCAUGACCUCGCAAGAGCAAAGUGGGGGACCUUCGGGCCUCACGCCAUCGGAUGUGCCCAGAUGGGAUUAGCUAGUAGGUGAGGUAAUGGCUCACCUAGGCGACGAUCCCUAGCUGGUCUGAGAGGAUGACCAGCCACACUGGAACUGAGACACGGUCCAGACUCCUACGGGAGGCAGCAGUGGGGAAUAUUGCACAAUGGGCGCAAGCCUGAUGCAGCCAUGCCGCGUGUGUGAAGAAGGCCUUAGGGUUGUAAAGCAUUUUCAGCGAGGAGGAAGGGUUCAGUGUUAAUAGCACUGAGCAUUGACGUUACUCGCAGAAGAAGCACCGGCUAACUCCGUGCCAGCAGCCGCGGUAAUACGGAGGGUGCAAGCGUUAAUCGGAAUUACUGGGCGUAAAGCGCACGCAGGCGGUUUGUUAAGUCAGAUGUGAAAUCCCCGAGCUUAACUUGGGAACUGCAUUUGAAACUGGCAAGCUAGAGUCUUGUAGAGGGGGGUAGAAUUCCAGGUGU
This 578-nucleotide ribosomal RNA is filed under the name uncultured Yersinia sp. Its description in RNAcentral is "bacterial SSU rRNA". It matches the Rfam family "Bacterial small subunit ribosomal RNA", at positions 102 to 676 of the family's 1533-position model. Lineage: Bacteria; Pseudomonadati; Pseudomonadota; Gammaproteobacteria; Enterobacterales; Yersiniaceae. The record is from RNAcentral.